UACGUAGGGUGCAAGCGUUGUCCGGAAUUAUUGGGCGUAAAGAGCGUGUAGGCGGCCAGAUAGGUCGGUUGUGAAAACUGGAGGCUCAACCUCCAGACGUCGACCGAAACCCUCUGGCUAGAGUCCGGAAGAGGAGAAUGGAAUUCCUGGUGUAGCGGUGAAAUGCGCAGAUAUCAGGAAGAACACCCGUGGCGAAGGCGGUUCUCUGGGACGGUACUGACGCUGAGACGCGAAAGCGUGGGGAGCGAACAGG
This 253-nucleotide ribosomal RNA is filed under the name uncultured bacterium. RNAcentral's name for it is "partial 16S ribosomal RNA". It matches the Rfam family "Bacterial small subunit ribosomal RNA", at positions 524 to 776 of the family's 1533-position model. The record is from RNAcentral.